Molecule: RNA transcript, 2536 nt
Organism: Canis lupus familiaris (dog)
Lineage: Eukaryota; Metazoa; Chordata; Mammalia; Carnivora; Canidae
Gene: SUPT3H
Gene name: SPT3 homolog, SAGA and STAGA complex component
Exons: 11
Source: RefSeq, a predicted model, not a curated record
GUUUUCCUUAGGUGAUGCUAGGAGGCCUCUUCAUGAAACAGCAGUUUUGGUAGAAGAUGUGGUACACACACAGUUAAUUAAUCUGUUACAGCAAGCUGCUGAAGUUUCUCAACUUCGGGGAGCAAGAGUAAUCUCUGCUGAAGAUCUUCUGUUUUUGAUGCGCAAAGAUAAGAAAAAACUUAGAAGACUACUAAAGUACAUGUUUUUCCGAGACUACAAAUCCAAGAUCGUCAAGGGCAUAGAUGAAGAUGACCUUCUGGAAGACAAAUUGAGUGGCAGCAGUAAUGCAAACAAAAGACAGAAAAUCGCCCAAGAUUUUCUCAACUCUAUUGACCAAACAGGAGAACUCCUGGCAAUGUUUGAAGAUGAUGAGAUUGAUGAAGUUAAACAAGAAAGAAUGGAGAGAGCAGAAAGACAGACUCGAAUUAUGGAUUCAGCUCAAUAUGCAGAAUUCUGUGAAAGUCGACAAUUAAGUUUCUCCAAAAAAGCCUCCAAAUUUCGAGACUGGUUGGACUGCAGCAGUAUGGAGAUAAAACCCAAUGUUGUCGCAAUGGAAAUUUUAGCAUAUCUAGCAUAUGAAACCGUGGCACAGUUAGUGGACCUUGCUCUUCUUGUGAGGCAGGACAUGGUAACCAAGGCAGGAGACCCCUUUAGCCAUGCCAUUUCUGCAACCUUCAUUCAGUAUCACAACUCUGCUGAGGGGUCUUGCAUGAAGUCCUACCCAGAAUCUCCUGAGAACACACCUCCUCCUACACCAACAGCUCCAUCAGCUGGAUCACAGCACUCAGGGAAAACUGCAUCAGGAUCCCUGGGGAAUGGGAGUGCUGGACAAGACUCAGCUAAAACCAAACAAAGGAAAAGAAAAAAGAGCACUGCGGCCUGUGGUGUUGAGGCUCACAGCGAUGCCAUCCAGCCCUGCCACAUCAGAGAGGCCGUUCGACGCUACGGCCACAAGAUUGGCCCCCUUUCCCCAUUCACAGAUAAAAUGCGAGCAAGUGGAGGUUACUUCACCUAGACUGGGGUUCCUGAGGGCUUCAUGGGACAAGGAUUGCAUGAGCUGAAUUUUGAAGGAUAAGAAGUUAGUCAAGCAGGGAAGGAAGAGAUGCAGAGGGAACAUGAGCAAAAGUAGAGUUACAAGGAGGAACAGAAUUGCGUGUUCAGGAAAUUGCCAAUAAUUCAAGAUUAUUAAAGCAUGAAAUACAUGGUACAGAAUGCCUGGAGACAGAAGGAAAAGAAGAGGUGGAGGCUAAGACGUGGAGAACACGAUGUUUAAGAGCUUACUUCUUGGUGGAGUGUUGACUGAGGGCCUCUCAGCUGACAAAUUUCUUUUUCUUUGACAGAGUGCCUACCGCAGGAAUGGGAUGGCUUUUCUGGCCUGCUGAUGGGACUGUGACUGUAACAACAGGAAAGGCAAUGUUAUAUUAAGGUGAUUUCUGUUCCCCUCUUUGGACAAAAUAAAAUACAAGUUUACCUUCUCUGUAUCCUCAGGAGUGGGUUGGUUUGUUGUGACUAUCAACUGGCUGACUCCAGCUCCUUUCCAGCCCCCUGAAUGCUUGCUCUUGUUUACUGGCUGGGCCGUUUAGCUAAUUAAUGGCAGGAUGUUUGGGGUAGUGUGUAGGUGGACAAGAAUGCAGAUCACACAAUUUUGAAAUUUUAAUUUGGAAUGAAUUUACUGCCCUCAGCUCACAUAUCUUAACAGCAGUGUCUUUCCCUCCCUCCCUUCCCGCCCCUCCCCCCAGUGUUUAGUCUAUGUUUUAUUUGAUGCAUUUUGUAAUUCAGGUUUGGGACAAAGGAAAUAAAAUGAAAAGGACAGUCAGUUUUCCCCUUGCAGUAUCCCACCAACUUCAACAUCUGCUGAUUACAUAUAUCCUAUGUGAAUCUUAGAGACAAAUAUUCCUUUUAUAAACUCACACUAAUCAAGUACCUAAUUGAUGUGAUAAACUGUCUAUUCCCAUCCUCUCAUCCCUUCCCCCUACUUAGAGCGCAUGUGUUACUUCUUCAUCCCUUCUUUCUGAACUUCCUACAAAUCUGCCUUCCUGCGUGUUUUUGCUCACGUAGGCCCUCUUCCCCUGUCCUCAUGGUCCCCGUCCCUCCAGUCUCCAGGCCCAUCUCACACACACACACACACACACACACACACACACACACACACGGCACAUGGCCAUUUAGAGACAAAAUCAUCACAAUCACUUGACGAAGGAGAGCUCAGUGAGUGAUUUGCUUUCCCCCUUCCCAGCACUCCCACAGCUACAUUAGAGUCGUGGACUGGCUAAUUUCUUGCUGGUAGCAGCUGAGCUACUCUUCUGGCACCUCUACUUUCUUCUCUCUUAAAUGAGGAACUCUAACUUUUGAGAACAAAUCAAAAUAUAGCAGAUAUAAUUGUACAGUUCCUGAUUCAACUUGAAUUACAAAAAAAGGAAGUCAUUUCUUUAAUUCUGUAGGACUUCUGUGUAGUCUUACUUUUAUUCUGGUUUUUACACAUGCCGAAACAGCCUUCUGUAAAGAAUCAAUAAAAACAGAAAGAAGUAGCAUGAAA